Molecule: long non-coding RNA, 1418 nt
Organism: Cyprinus carpio (common carp)
Lineage: Eukaryota; Metazoa; Chordata; Actinopteri; Cypriniformes; Cyprinidae
Source: Ensembl
UAGAAAUUCAGUUUAGUACUUUGCAACUACUAACUCCCAGAGUAUCACCGUUUGAAAUAUAACGAUGUCUUGCUUUUAAAUGUUUUUCUUAAAAGUGUGCUUAAGAUCCUUCAUUAAAAUAAAUGCUACUUGGUUUUUAUAUUAGUCAUUCAUGGAUUUCAAGGCGUGUCUAAAGUCUUUUUAAGUGCACAUGGGAAACCCGUUCUAAUCGGAAACAUAACACGGAAGUAGCCUGAACAAAACAAUUGUACACUAUAAAGCCAACUCACAUGCAUACGUGUAAAAUGAUACAAAUAAUUAGUGUCUCUUGUUUUCAUAAAAAGAAACAGAGUUUUUAUCCCUGCUGUAAAUGGCAACUCUACACCUGUCAGUGUUCUUCUUCGGACAAACACUUUUCUGUGGGCGUAAGGGUCAGUAGUGCGCCAUUGAUUUAAAAGGCCUUGACCAGCGCGCUCUUUUCUCAUUGGCUGAUGGGCGGAGUUUGUUUGGCCAAUGAACGCAGACUUUAGUUAAAGACACUGCAGCAAUGCGUUGAGCAGGACGCGCUACAAACUUCACUUUCAAUGGAUGUUUGUCUUAUUUUAAAGACUGAUGUUAGUUAAAAUUACAGCAGAACAGCGAAGGGAGUUCUCUCGGGCGCUUAGCAGUGGCUCAGAUAAGGUGUCCUUCAGCAUAUCAUUAGUUAAAGAUAAUUAACGUGAUGUUUUAGGGCAAUGGAGAGUGAGCAGUCAGGAACAUUUGGAGGCGGCGGAGAAGAUUCAUCAGGCUCCGACACGCUGUCAGAGGGCGAGACGCAAGCAGAGCCGUAUGAAUCCCAGUUACACUUUGAGGAUUUUAAAUGUCAAUCCUCAGAUUUUGUAGGUCUUGACGACAAAGUGAAGGGAAUUGAUUCUGAUGAAUGCAGCAACGAGAUAAAAGCGAGAAAUGGGGAUUACCAAGAAGAGGGAGAAAAUGAUGGAGACGAGGACGAAAUGCAAUGCACCUUUUCAUCCAAAGUUUGUUACAUAAAGUAUCGAGAGCCUUCCAGUGUUGGUGUGGCACAACAUUUAACCAACACUGUGUUUAUUGACUGAGCUUUGAUUGUUGUGCCCUGUGCUGAAGGUUACAUUUGCAUGUGUUAAAUUUGUGUGCUUGAUUAAGCAGAGACACUGAAUAUCUAACUUCAAAUCACACUUUUGAGUAGAACAAACCAUAAUUGGUUCUUGGCAUUAUAUUUUGUGUUUUUGUGUCCCAGUUAAGUAUGAUAACCAUGAGUCUGUGUGCUAAGGUAUCACUUCUGUCAGCUCUGAUUUAUUUUGUGAGUUCAGUGGAGGUGGGUGGAUUGACACUAGCUCUCUUGUUUAUCAGUUGAGCUGGAGGAUGUGGAACUGAUGGAGGUGAUUAAGAUCAUACUCUGUGUUAUGUAACAGCAUCAGGAC